UACGGGGGGGGCAAGCGUUGUUCGGAAUUACUGGGCGUAAAGGGCUCGUAGGCGGCUAACUAAGUCAGACGUGAAAUCCCUCGGCUUAACCGGGGAACUGCGUCUGAUACUGGAUGGCUCGAGUUUGGGAGAGGGAUGCGGAAUUCCAGGUGUAGCGGUGAAAUGCGUAGAUAUCUGGAGGAACACCGGUGGCGAAGGCGGCAUCCUGGACCAACACUGACGCUGAGGAGCGAAAGCCAGGGGAGCAAACGGG
This 253-nucleotide ribosomal RNA is filed under the name uncultured bacterium. RNAcentral's name for it is "partial 16S ribosomal RNA". It matches the Rfam family "Bacterial small subunit ribosomal RNA", at positions 524 to 776 of the family's 1533-position model. The record is from RNAcentral.